This 618-nucleotide ribosomal RNA is filed under the name Streptomyces sp. D431. Its description in RNAcentral is "bacterial SSU rRNA". It matches the Rfam family "Bacterial small subunit ribosomal RNA", at positions 67 to 701 of the family's 1533-position model. The record is from RNAcentral. Lineage: Bacteria; Bacillati; Actinomycetota; Actinomycetes; Kitasatosporales; Streptomycetaceae.
CGAUGAACCACUUCGGUGGGGAUUAGUGGCGAACGGGUGAGUAACACGUGGGCAAUCUGCCCUGCACUCUGGGACAAGCCCUGGAAACGGGGUCUAAUACCGGAUACUGAUUGUCUUGGGCAUCCUUGAUGAUCGAAAGCUCCGGCGGUGCAGGAUGAGCCCGCGGCCUAUCAGCUUGUUGGUGAGGUAACGGCUCACCAAGGCGACGACGGGUAGCCGGCCUGAGAGGGCGACCGGCCACACUGGGACUGAGACACGGCCCAGACUCCUACGGGAGGCAGCAGUGGGGAAUAUUGCACAAUGGGCGCAAGCCUGAUGCAGCGACGCCGCGUGAGGGAUGACGGCCUUCGGGUUGUAAACCUCUUUCAGCAGGGAAGAAGCGAAAGUGACGGUACCUGCAGAAGAAGCGCCGGCUAACUACGUGCCAGCAGCCGCGGUAAUACGUAGGGCGCAAGCGUUGUCCGGAAUUAUUGGGCGUAAAGAGCUCGUAGGCGGCUUGUCGCGUCGGUUGUGAAAGCCCGGGGCUUAACCCCGGGUCUGCAGUCGAUACGGGCAGGCUAGAGUUCGGUAGGGGAGAUCGGAAUUCCUGGUGUAGCGGUGAAAUGCGCAGAUAUCAGG